RNAcentral lists this ribosomal RNA (530 nucleotides) under uncultured Nitrospira sp. RNAcentral's name for it is "bacterial SSU rRNA". It matches the Rfam family "Bacterial small subunit ribosomal RNA", at positions 97 to 644 of the family's 1533-position model. The record is from RNAcentral. Lineage: Bacteria; Pseudomonadati; Nitrospirota; Nitrospiria; Nitrospirales; Nitrospiraceae.
GGCGGACGGGUGAGUAACACGUAGGUAACCAACCUUCGAGACGGGGGCAACUCAGGGAAACUUGAGCUAAUACCCGGUAAGACCACGAGUUGAGAGGCUUGUGGUAAAAGGGAGCAAUCCGCUUGGAGACGGGCCUGCGGCCUAUCAGGUAGUUGGUGGGGUAACGGCUUACCAAGCCAAAGACGGGUAGCCGGGCUGAGAGGUUGAACGGCCACACUGGAACUGAGAAACGGUCCAGACUCCUACGGGAGGCAGCAGUGGGGAAUAUUGCACAAUGGGGGAAACCCUGAUGCGGCGACGCCGCGUGGAGGAUGAAGGUCUUCGGGUUGUAAACUCCUUUUCUUGGGAAAGAUGAUGACGGUACCCAAGGAAUAAGCCACGGCUAACUCUGUGCCAGCAGCCGCGGUAAGACAGAGGUGGCGAGCGUUGUUCGGAAUCACUGGGCUUAAAGGGCGAGUAGGCGGUGGAGCAAGUCUGUGGUGGAAUCCUAUGGCUUAACCAUAGAAUUGCCUUAGAAACUGUUUCACUUG